This 315-nucleotide unclassified non-coding RNA is filed under the name plant metagenome. RNAcentral's name for it is "partial contains 5.8S ribosomal RNA, internal transcribed spacer 2, and large subunit ribosomal RNA". The stretch from base 1 to 105 matches the Rfam family "5.8S ribosomal RNA", at positions 50 to 154 of the family's 154-position model. The record is from RNAcentral.
GAAAUGCGAUAAGUAAUGUGAAUUGCAGAAUUCAGUGAAUCAUCGAGUCUUUGAACGCACAUUGCGCCCCCUGGCAUUCCGGGGGGCAUGCCUGUCCGAGCGUCAUUGCUGCCCUUCAAGCCAGGCUUGUGUGUUGGGUCGUCGUCCCCUCCGGGGGACGGGCCCGAAAGGCAGCGGCGGCACCGCGUCCGGUCCUCGAGCGUAUGGGGCUUUGUCACCCGCUCGAUAAGGACCGGCCGGGCGCCAGCCGGCGUCUCCAACCUUUUUUUCUCAGGUUGACCUCGGAUCAGGUAGGGAUACCCGCUGAACUUAAGC